CAAGCCACACCUAUUGGUUUUGGGUCUCUGGGAGUUCCCCUCGGAGAGGAGAGAUAACGCGAGUUUUUGGGAGAAGUAAAAGACAGGGUUGGAGACAGCUUCACUCUCUUGCUCUGGGCAUCGGAGAGAGAACGGCCAGGCUGCUGCUCGCUGCAGGAGUUCGCUGUUACCCCCCCGUCCAGUCUUAGAAAAUCAACCACCAUCUGCUCGUGUGUGCCGGAACCCUGAGCUCGCCUCCUCCUGCCCUGCGGGGCCGGCCCUGUCCUGCUGCCGCUGUUCCUUCGGUGCUGCUUUGAGGCUUUCUGCCGCUCUGUGGCCCUGCCCUGCUGGGACAUCCCUGCCGCUCCAGCUGCCACCGAGGGAGGUUCUGUCACAUCUCAUGCACCAGCCCGGGAUUUUUCCACCACUCCAGCUUGCUGCUCUCGGAGUCCCAAGAGAUCAGACUGCCCUGGGCUUUGUGAAACCAAAGCCCCUCGAGAUGAGCCAACAAGAACUGCAGAAAUACAAUUCCUGGGGAAAGGUGGCCUGGAACACGGCGUCUCUUAGAGAACAGCAACAAUGACAAGGACCUUGAAGAAUUCUUGGAUGGAAGAAUUAGACACGGAAUUGCCUGAAGAGCCCAAUCAUUCCACCCUUGGCCAGCUGAUGGAUGAAGGUACCUCCUCAGAUUUGCUCUUGGAUGUGAAUCAGCCCCUGAGGUACCUUAUUUUUGAAUGGGAAAGUUUUUGGAACUUCUCUAUGUUGUCAGACAAAGCCAAUAAAUGAGAAGCUGAUGGAGGUGACAGGCAGCAGGAGCUGGAAGACUCAACAGGGCUCAGUUGUUACCUCUGUGUUGGCAGGUGGAAGGUAAGGGGCAGUGACACUCCAAGUGAGAUCAGAGUAUUCUGGAUCUGCUUUUCACUAGAAAGUUUUUUUCUUCAUAAACAUAAAAAUCUUCAAAAUACCCAAGUGUUCAUCAGUUGGAGAUUUCUCACAUGAGGUAUUUGUUUGCUAUAAGAAAAUUACCAUCAGCUAUGAAAAUGGGGAAAAAGAGAAAGGGAGAUCACAGAGCUUUUUCCAGUCUAAUUUUUGAAUCAGCUCCAGAAAGCAUGUCUUCACUAAAAUAAAUUGAUGCACGAUAUGUUUGUGUGGCUAUUGUGAUACACCUGUAAUUUCCCUCCUCCUGUUUAUAAAAGCCUCAGAACAUGAUCAAAGAAUAAAACCA
Prinia subflava (tawny-flanked prinia) is the source of this 1204-nucleotide long non-coding RNA. RefSeq lists it as uncharacterized. Lineage: Eukaryota; Metazoa; Chordata; Aves; Passeriformes; Cisticolidae. The transcript is spliced from 3 exons. The record is from RefSeq and is a predicted model, not a curated record.